UUUUUGCUCUCCGAGGUGAUAGAAUGGCUGCCACACAGGUUUGUAUUAUGUUGAAAAAAUGUCAAUACAUUUAACAAAAAUAAAGUAUUUUUUCUUGAAUAGUUAAUGUAUGAACAGAAUAAUUUGUGGCUGAAUACAUUUUGGUUUUUGGUAUUUCUCCACAUAUACUACAUUCACGUGUACUCCUCCACACAUACUACUUUUAAUAGAAACAUGAUCUAGUUUGAUCAAUUUACAGUAGAAACUAGUGUUUGAAUUGGCUUUGAAUUAAUCGUAGACCUUGACCAUACAAAUGAGAAAUACAUUUAGUGGGGUGUGGAGAGAAAUAUCCCAUUCUGCCUUCCUGAUAAUAGGCUAUGUGUGCACCUGUUCAUUCAGGAAUUCCUCCUCAGGGAGCUGGAUGAUGCAGACAACAGAGAGGUGGUGAGACUGAUGUUUCAGCGAGUUCUUUUUAUGUCUAGAGAUUUACUGGCGGCAGAAUGGUGAGCCACCACUUGCACAUGUACCAGGUGCACCUGUGGCAACUGCAGGGAGAUGCCUACAGACAGAGAGAGGAAGUGCUGUGGUCAGGGACCAGACCUCUGUGUUAACCAGCUGCCACAUUUCACCCAUUACUGCCUAGGCAACAGCUAUUUAAGUUUGCACAGGCGGUAUAGGGUUGACGUGUUGGCAGUGGCUGAUGCAGCAGAGCCUGGAGAUGACGCCCCGGAGUAUCGGCAUGCUGCCUACACACAGUUUGUGAUGUAGCAGCAUGGUGCCCUUGGUGCAGGAAACCGAGUUGCUGUGUUUGGAGAAUCAGUGACACAUUCCCUGAUCCCCAUUCACAGUACGCUGGGUUCCACCCUGGCCGCUAGGAUUCUCAAAGCAUGUGGCAUGAUGCCAUACUAGUGAUGUGCCCAAAGACUGUCCGUUGCCAGACCCUUAUUGGCAUGACAUUAGUAUGGUAUCAUGCCACUUGCUGUGAACAGAACACAACCUCUCUCUCAGUUUGCAUUCUCCACACACAAACACCUGCCAGGUGCAUCUUCAGGACAAAAACCUUCUUAGUGGGCACACCAUGUCAUAUCAAAGAUUCUAAAGGUUGAUAGUUUAUUUCUCACACAAGUGAAAUGUUUAAUGAAAAAAAUUCUGAAUUUCACACUGAAAGUGUGCUUGACUAAAUAAUGUUACAUUAGUUUUUACAUUUGUCUAUAUUGAAAAUGGUUACCAUUGUGACAUAAUCCUCCAGUUGAAAUGUCCCCCUCAAAACAAUAGUAAAUGCCAAUGACUUGUGCCACCCUAAAAAAAACAGUUAACGCGACUGACUUGCGCCACCCUCAAAACAACAGUUCACGCCAAUGACUUGUGCCAACCUCAUAACAACAGUUGAUGCCAAUGACUUGGGCCACCCUCAAAACAACAGUUAAUGCCAAUGAUGUGUGUCACCCUCAAAACAACAGUUAACGCCAAUGACUAGUGCCAGUUCUAUGCAGGUAAAUAAGAACUUAUUCCAAGCCUUGCUAUUCAAGGAGACAUGAUGUCCAGUGAAAAAAAGACAGAGGCGCGAAAUGAUUAGGUUAUGGUAACGAUAUUCCAGAGGAGCUAUCCAGUGGAAUAUAAAACACAUGACUACCUCUGGACAAAUUAACUCAAUGACAUAUAAUUAAAAGUGGUAAUCAGGGAGUCGUCCAUGACCACAGGCUUCCCCCCACUUCUUGUGUUGUUUAAAUAUACAAUCUAUGGGAGUGAGAGAGUGGGAGAGCGCAUACAAUGCAUUCGGAAACUAUUCAGCCCCAUGACUUUUUCCACAUUUGGUACGUUGCAGUCUUAUUCUUAAAAAAUGUCCCUUAUCAAUCUACACACAAUUCCCUACAAUGACAAAGUGAAAACAGGUUUUUAGAAUUUUUUUCAAAUGUAUUAAAAAGAAAAAACAGAAAUACCUUAUUUCUGACCUGAUUCAGGAAACUAGGCGUAUGUCGGAAGUCAUGACUUCACAGGAGAGCCUUUUGAACGUAAUUUUUUUUUUAAAUCAAAAUGCAUUUUUUGGCAGAAAUGCCUUCUCGAACAUGUGAACUUUCAUGUGCCUUAAUAUCAAACUUGUAUGCCAUCUGUAAAUACGAAUAAAAUUGUUCAAUUACGAGCCUAGUUGGUUUAGCCACAGAAAAAGUCAGCAACCUUGCCAUGAUUGGCUGAGAUAAUGAGUGGGCUGGACAUGCUGAGAGAUGAGUUUCGAUUGGUCGGUGUUGCAUCUUGUGUCUAUAAAAUGAGCUGCUUGUUAUGUGUAAAUAAGUGUUUCUACUUCAGUGUUUUUUUUGGAGAAUGGAGAACUGCAAAUAUGUUGCUACUGCUCUCAAUAACAUUACUGCCCUGAAUUUAUCAGGCAAAGGUCAGUGGGAAAAAGUUGUGAUGGACUACUUUCUGGAUGACGAUCGUGCCAUGCAAUGCUGACUCUCUCAUUUCAGAACACGUUUUGAAAUCAGUGCAACACAAAGUGCAACACAAAGGGCCGAACAAGCUGGGCAAACUAAACGGAAACAACACAGGAUGUCUUAUAAAAGAGGUUGCCGUCUGCCGUGAAGCUUUCAUCCAUGUAUACAGCAUUAAUCAGUAAAACGCGCCUGACUCCACCAGUCAUACAGUCAUCAAAAAGAGAGCUGGACCAAGCAGGCAAAGGCAGUAGCGCAGUCAUCAACUACAAGCACCAUUUCUUCAACUACAGAGUUGGAAAAACACGUGUGGACCUGACUUGUGAUCACUGCAGUGGCCAGAACAAGUUUGUGCUCUGGUAUUGUGCCUGGUGGGCCAUGCACAAGCUCCACCACAAUUUGGACCUUCACUUCCUGAUCACAGGCCACACCAAGUUUGACCCUGACUUAUGCUUCGGCCUCAUCAAGCAGCGCUUCAGAAAGACCAGAGUGAACACUUUGUCUGAGAUUGUUGGUGUUGUGAAGGACAGCACUGUGGCAGGGGUCAACAUCCCACAGCUGGUUGGACUAGAUGAUGGUACGGUGCUGGUGGAAAGCUAUGGCUGGCAACAACACCUGACAACACACGUACUUUAGGCCGCUGCCACAGAUCAAGCAGUACCAGCACUUCAGGUAAAAAAUACGUUUCUUUGUAUGAGGUUAUUCUUAUCUAUACUUGGGAGAUGAAUUGAUGUUGUGCAGGGUUGUAAUGUCUUCUGAUUAAAAAAAAAAAAAAAAUCCCCGUUUUACAACUUCGAUGCUCUGGAGCCUGGUGUUGUCUCCAAGGAGCGUUCAGACUGUCAAGACCAGGUUUCAGCUGCUGCGCAACGCUGCCAUCCUUCCUCCCAUAGAUAUCCUGGCUGUAAAAGCACCAGCUGGACUGGACACAGCUAGUCAAACUAUCUUUUUGACAAGAUCAAGGAGUUUCGUGACGAAAAGGUUAUGGACAUCACAUGCCCUUCACCAAGGUCAAAGGCAGGACCGAAACAGGCUCUCCGAAUAUAGAUUCCCUUGUUCAUGCGUGGUUUGGACAGACCAGUCAUCAGCACUAUAUGCUGUGCCUCUAUUCGCAUGACUCUCUCCUACGUUGCUGCUAACUAUUUUUUUUAUCCUGCUGCUCUGCCACUUUACCCUUGAUUGUAUGCAUAUAACUACCUCGUCUAUCACUAUCGUUAUUGUUCUUGUACAUGUAGUAUGUUUUAUUGAUAUUGACACUGACACUAUCUAUUUCUGAUAUUGCUACUAUGCAAGUAACCAUUUGGCUGUACCGUUUACACCUUCUGUAUAGACCAUCCACUUAGCAAGACUUAGCAAAAUAUUGGUAUAUAAAAUGUAAUAUUGAUAUGUGUGAUCCAUACGUUUUCCUUGACACCCAAAAGUACUUGUUACAUUUUGACAGGAAAAUUGUCCAAUUCAAUCGUUUAUCAAGAGAACAUCCCUGGACAUCUCUAUUACCUCUGAUCUGAAUGACUCACUAAACACAUGCUUUGUUUGUAAAUUAUGUCUGAGUGUUGGAGUGUGCCCCUGGCUAUACAUCAAUAACAAAUAAUACAUUUGUCCCGUAUGGUUUGCUUGAUAUAAUGAAGUUGAAAUGGUUUAUACUUUUGAUACUUAAGUAUAUUGUUCCCCUGGCUAUCUGUCAAUGUAUUUUUUUUUUUAAAUACAAUUGUGCCGUCUGGUUUAAUAUAAUGAAUUUGAAAUUAUUUAUAUUUUUACUCAAGUAUGACAAUUUAGUACUUUUUCCAACCACUGGAUGUGGCUUGUGGUUAUAGCAUUUUGUUCACAUGACCAAUCAAUUUAGACAAGUGUAAGCGUCAUCUAAUAAUUAUACAAAUAUUUUAUCUGGA
Long non-coding RNA from Salvelinus fontinalis (brook trout), 4291 nucleotides. RefSeq lists it as uncharacterized. The record is from RefSeq and is a predicted model, not a curated record. The transcript is spliced from 2 exons. Lineage: Eukaryota; Metazoa; Chordata; Actinopteri; Salmoniformes; Salmonidae.